RNAcentral lists this non-coding RNA (99 nucleotides) under Paenibacillus sp. RNAcentral's name for it is "Guanine sequence". It matches the Rfam family "Purine riboswitch aptamer". Rfam says of the family: Riboswitches are metabolite binding domains within certain messenger RNAs that serve as precision sensors for their corresponding targets. Allosteric rearrangement of mRNA structure is mediated by ligand binding, and this results in modulation of gene expression. A class of riboswitches that selectively recognises guanine and becomes saturated at concentrations as low as 5 nM. The record is from RNAcentral. RNAcentral also lists the same sequence under 1 other name. Lineage: Bacteria; Bacillati; Bacillota; Bacilli; Caryophanales; Paenibacillaceae.
GUACCUCUUCAAGGAAUAACUCGUAUAUUUUCGGGAUUGGCCCGAAUGUUUCUACCUGGAAACCUUAAUUUCUGGACUACGAGCUAGAUGAAUCGGACA